Drosophila arizonae is the source of this 245-nucleotide long non-coding RNA. Lineage: Eukaryota; Metazoa; Arthropoda; Insecta; Diptera; Drosophilidae. The record is from RefSeq and is a predicted model, not a curated record.
UUAUCCAACAUACAUUGGCAUUUAUUUAGUUUUUUUGUUGUUGAUUUGCUUGAAUUUUAUGACACUGAAACAGACAAAUUUGUAUUCGCUUGCUGAAUGUAUGUAAGUGUGUGGGUGUGUAGUAAGUUUUAUAUGUGUGUGUGUGUUAAGUACUUUGGUUAUUAUUGUUGUCAAAGGGGAUUUUAAAUGUCUUUAGUGCUAUGGAGAUAUAAGCUGCGUGUGUGUGUGUGUUAGUGUGUGUGUUG